Molecule: ribosomal RNA, 253 nt
Filed under: uncultured bacterium
Lineage: Bacteria
Description: partial 16S ribosomal RNA
Rfam family: Bacterial small subunit ribosomal RNA
Source: RNAcentral
UACGUAGGGGGCUAGCGUUGUCCGGAAUUACUGGGCGUAAAGCGCACGUAGGCGGCUUUGCAAGUUAGAGGUGAAAGCCCGGGGCUCAACUCCGGAAUUGCCUUUAAAACUGCAUCGCUAGAAUUGUGGAGAGGUAAGUGGAAUUCCGAGUGUAGAGGUGAAAUUCGUAGAUAUUCGGAAGAACACCAGUGGCGAAGGCGGCUUACUGGACACAUAUUGACGCUGAGGUGCGAAAGCGUGGGGAGCAAACAGG